GACGAACGCUGGCGGCGUGCUUAACACAUGCAAGUCGAACGGAAAGGCCCUGCUUUUGUGGGGUGCUCGAGUGGCGAACGGGUGAGUAACACGUGAGUAACCUGCCCUUGACUUUGGGAUAACUUCAGGAAACUGGGGCUAAUACCGGAUAGGAGCUCCUGCUGCAUGGUGGGGGUUGGAAAGUUUCGGCGGUUGGGGAUGGACUCGCGGCUUAUCAGCUUGUUGGUGGGGUAGUGGCUUACCAAGGCUUUGACGGGUAGCCGGCCUGAGAGGGUGACCGGCCACAUUGGGACUGAGAUACGGCCCAGACUCCUACGGGAGGCAGCAGUGGGGAAUAUUGCACAAUGGGCGGAAGCCUGAGGCAGCAACGCCGCGUGCGGGAUGACGGCCUUCGGGUUGUAAACCGCUUUCGCAUGUGACGAAGCGUGAGUGACGGUAAUGGGUAAAGAAGCACCGGCUAACUACGU
This 467-nucleotide ribosomal RNA is filed under the name uncultured bacterium. RNAcentral describes it as "partial 16S ribosomal RNA". It matches the Rfam family "Bacterial small subunit ribosomal RNA", at positions 28 to 506 of the family's 1533-position model. The record is from RNAcentral.